GACGAACGCUGGCGGCGUGCUUAACACAUGCCAGUCGAACGGAAAGGCCCUGCUUUUGUGGGGUGCUCGAGUGGCGAACGGGUGAGUAACACGUGAGUAACCUGCCCUUGACUUUGGGAUAACUUCAGGAAACUGGGGCUAAUACCGGAUAGGAGCUCCUGCUGCAUGGUGGGGGUUGGAAAGUUUCGGCGGUUGGGGAUGGAUUCGCGGCUUAUCAGCUUGUUGGUGGGGUAGUGGCUUACCAAGGCUUUGACGGGUAGCCGGCCUGAGAGGGUGACCGGCCACAAUGGGACUGAGAGACGGCGCAGACUCGUACGGGAGGCAGCAGUGGGGAAUAUUGCACAAUGGGCGGAAGCCUGAUGCAGCAACGCCGCGUGCGGGAUGACGGCCUUCGGGUGGUAAACCGCUUUCGCCUGUGACGAAGCGUGAGUGACGGUAAUGGGUAAAGAAGCACCGGCUAACUACGUG
Molecule: ribosomal RNA, 468 nt
Filed under: uncultured bacterium
Lineage: Bacteria
Description: partial 16S ribosomal RNA
Rfam family: Bacterial small subunit ribosomal RNA
Source: RNAcentral